This 240-nucleotide unclassified non-coding RNA is filed under the name soil metagenome. RNAcentral's name for it is "partial contains 5.8S ribosomal RNA, internal transcribed spacer 2, and large subunit ribosomal RNA". The record is from RNAcentral.
AACCUUAUGGACCUGCGGGCGUAUACCUGCGGAGGGAUCAUCAUCGAAUUCAUAUCCCUCCACUUCCGGAGGGGGACCCAUGAUAAACCCUUCUGUGCAUCGUAAACCGUUCACUUUGGCUGGUUUUGGUGGUGAGCGUGAGCUCGUCUCCAACCUCGCGUUCUCUCCCCUAAGGGGGGUUACGCGUGGCGGCCUGCCGAAGUCCUCCCAUUAAAAACACGUUUUCGAACACGUCUGAAA